GAUGAAGAACGCAGCGAAAUGCGAUAAGUAAUGUGAAUUGCAGAAUUCAGUGAAUCAUCGAAUCUUUGAACGCACAUUGCGCCCGCCAGCACUCUGGCGGGCAUGCCUGUUCGAGCGUCAUUUCAACCAUCAAGCCCCCAGGGGCUUGUGCUGGGGCCCUGCGGCUGCCCGCAGGCCCUGAAAACCAGUGGCGGGCUCGCUGUAGCACCGAGCGUAGUAGCAUAACCUCGCUCAGGGCGCGACCGCGGGUCCCUGCCGUUAAAGCCCCAUACAUAAACAAGGUUGACCUCGGAUCAGGUAGGAAGACCCGCUGAACUUAAGCAUAUCAAUAAGCGGAGGA
RNAcentral lists this unclassified non-coding RNA (340 nucleotides) under soil metagenome. RNAcentral's name for it is "partial contains 5.8S ribosomal RNA, internal transcribed spacer 2, and large subunit ribosomal RNA". The stretch from base 1 to 120 matches the Rfam family "5.8S ribosomal RNA", at positions 35 to 154 of the family's 154-position model. The record is from RNAcentral.